This 219-nucleotide non-coding RNA is filed under the name Devosia enhydra. The record is from RNAcentral. Lineage: Bacteria; Pseudomonadati; Pseudomonadota; Alphaproteobacteria; Hyphomicrobiales; Devosiaceae.
ACAUCUCGGCUUCGUGAUGGUUCCCCGCGCCCGCUGUGGCAAGGGGAUCAAAAGGGAACACGGCGAGGCGUACCCAUCAGGGACCGAAUCCGUGGCUGCCCCCGCAACUGUAAGUGGUGAGGAUACGAUCAUGCACCCACUGGCCCUUGGGCCGGGAAGGGGAUCGCAUCCGGCAAAGACACCGCGAGCCAGGAGACCUGCCAUCCGAUCGCCUGGGCC